This 447-nucleotide ribosomal RNA is filed under the name uncultured organism. RNAcentral describes it as "partial 16S ribosomal RNA". It matches the Rfam family "Bacterial small subunit ribosomal RNA", at positions 334 to 797 of the family's 1533-position model. The record is from RNAcentral.
CACUCCUACGGGAGGCAGCAGUGGGGAAUAUUGGACAAUGGGCGCAAGCCUGAUCCAGCCAUGCCGCGUGAGUGAUGAAGGCCCUAGGGUUGUAAAGCUCUUUCACCGGAGAAGAUAAUGACGGUAUCCGGAGAAGAAGCCCCGGCUAACUUCGUGCCAGCAGCCGCGGUAAUACGAAGGGGGCUAGCGUUGUUCGGAAUUACUGGGCGUAAAGCGCACGUAGGCGGAUCGAUCAGUCAGGGGUGAAAUCCCAGGGCUCAACCCUGGAACUGCCUUUGAUACUGUCGAUCUGGAGUAUGGAAGAGGUGAGUGGAAUUCCGAGUGUAGAGGUGAAAUUCGUAGAUAUUCGGAGGAACACCAGUGGCGAAGGCGGCUCACUGGUCCAUUACUGACGCUGAGGUGCGAAAGCGUGGGGAGCAAACAGGAUUAGAUACCCGUGUAGUCCCA